This 253-nucleotide ribosomal RNA is filed under the name uncultured bacterium. RNAcentral's name for it is "partial 16S ribosomal RNA". It matches the Rfam family "Bacterial small subunit ribosomal RNA", at positions 524 to 776 of the family's 1533-position model. The record is from RNAcentral.
UACGUAGGGCGCAAGCGUUGUCCGGAAUUAUUGGGCGUAAAGAGCUCGUAGGCGGCCUGUCGCGUCUGCUGUGAAAUCCCGGGGCUCAACCCCGGGCCUGCAGUGGAUACGGGCUGGCUGGAGGCAGGCAGGGGAGAACGGAGUUCCUGGUGUAGCGGUGAAAUGCGCAGAUAUCAGGAGGAACACCGGUGGCGAAGGCGGUUCUCUGGGCCUGUUCUGACGCUGAGGAGCGAAAGCGUGGGGAGCGAACAGG